RNAcentral lists this ribosomal RNA (773 nucleotides) under Escherichia coli. RNAcentral describes it as "partial 23S ribosomal RNA". It matches the Rfam family "Bacterial large subunit ribosomal RNA", at positions 417 to 1191 of the family's 2925-position model. Lineage: Bacteria; Pseudomonadati; Pseudomonadota; Gammaproteobacteria; Enterobacterales; Enterobacteriaceae. The record is from RNAcentral.
GCGGGACACGUGGUAUCCUGUCUGAAUAUGGGGGGACCAUCCUCCAAGGCUAAAUACUCCUGACUGACCGAUAGUGAACCAGUACCGUGAGGGAAAGGCGAAAAGAACCCCGGCGAGGGGAGUGAAAAAGAACCUGAAACCGUGUACGUACAAGCAGUGGGAGCACGCUUAGGCGUGUGACUGCGUACCUUUUGUAUAAUGGGUCAGCGACUUAUAUUCUGUAGCAAGGUUAACCGAAUAGGGGAGCCGAAGGGAAACCGAGUCUUAACUGGGCGUUAAGUUGCAGGGUAUAGACCCGAAACCCGGUGAUCUAGCCAUGGGCAGGUUGAAGGUUGGGUAACACUAACUGGAGGACCGAACCGACUAAUGUUGAAAAAUUAGCGGAUGACUUGUGGCUGGGGGUGAAAGGCCAAUCAAACCGGGAGAUAGCUGGUUCUCCCCGAAAGCUAUUUAGGUAGCGCCUCGUGAAUUCAUCUCCGGGGGUAGAGCACUGUUUCGGCAAGGGGGUCAUCCCGACUUACCAACCCGAUGCAAACUGCGAAUACCGGAGAAUGUUAUCACGGGAGACACACGGCGGGUGCUAACGUCCGUCGUGAAGAGGGAAACAACCCAGACCGCCAGCUAAGGUCCCAAAGUCAUGGUUAAGUGGGAAACGAUGUGGGAAGGCCCAGACAGCCAGGAUGUUGGCUUAGAAGCAGCCAUCAUUUAAAGAAAGCGUAAUAGCUCACUGGUCGAGUCGGCCUGCGCGGAAGAUGUAACGGGGCUAAACCAUG